This 253-nucleotide ribosomal RNA is filed under the name uncultured Eubacteriales bacterium. RNAcentral describes it as "uncultured Clostridiales bacterium partial 16S ribosomal RNA". It matches the Rfam family "Bacterial small subunit ribosomal RNA", at positions 524 to 776 of the family's 1533-position model. Lineage: Bacteria; Bacillati; Bacillota; Clostridia; Eubacteriales. The record is from RNAcentral.
UACGUAGGUGGCGAGCGUUAUCCGGAUUUACUGGGCGUAAAGGGAGCGUAGGCGGCUUAGUAAGUCAGAAGUGAAAGCCCGCAGCUCAACUGCGGGACUGCUUUUGAAACUGCCAGGCUAGAGUGUCGGAGAGGUAAGUGGAAUUCCUAGUGUAGCGGUGAAAUGCGUAGAUAUUAGGAGGAACACCAGUGGCGAAGGCGGCUUACUGGACGAUGACUGACGCUGAAGCACGAAAGCGUGGGGAGCAAAUAGG